UCUCCGUUGGUGAACCAGCGGAGGGAUCAUUACAGAGUUGCAAAACUCCCAAACCAUUGUGAACGUUACCUAUCCCGUUGCUUCGGCGGGCGGCCCGGGCCCCGCGCCCGGCGCCCCCCGGCCCCCCGUGGGCGCCCGCCGGAGGUAAACCAAACCCUUGCAUUGCAUGGCCUCUCUGAGUCUUCUGUACUGAAUAAGUCAAAACUUUCAACAACGGAUCUCUUGGUUCUG
Molecule: unclassified non-coding RNA, 231 nt
Filed under: plant metagenome
Description: partial contains small subunit ribosomal RNA, internal transcribed spacer 1, and 5.8S ribosomal RNA
Source: RNAcentral